RNAcentral lists this transfer RNA (58 nucleotides) under Oncorhynchus mykiss (rainbow trout). It matches the Rfam family "tRNA", at positions 8 to 63 of the family's 71-position model. From Rfam's summary of the family: Transfer RNA (tRNA) molecules are approximately 80 nucleotides in length. Their secondary structure includes four short double-helical elements and three loops (D, anti-codon, and T loops). RNAcentral also lists the same sequence under 2 other names. Lineage: Eukaryota; Metazoa; Chordata; Actinopteri; Salmoniformes; Salmonidae. The record is from Rfam by way of RNAcentral.
UGGCUCAGUUGGUGGAGCAUGGUGCUUGCAAUGCCAAGGUUGUGGGUUAGAAGCCCAU